GAUUUAUUGCAUUUUAUUAUAAAAAGAAUAAACAUCAAGUAUUUAUAAAUAAGUUAACAAUCAGGCAGACAACACAGCCAAUCUAAGCUAAUCUAUACAGAGUCGUUGGGCAGAAAAUAAUCACAAAUUUUCUAUUGGCAAAAAAAAUCACAAUUUCUAUAAGGGGUUGAAGAAAUACGAACAUCACAACUUUAACAUGGAAGACACACCGCACAUCUUUAUACAGAGCAGAAAAAUACAAUGUUCUAACAACAUUUUGUCAAUUAGUCUACAAAAAACAAACCACAGCUUGUCAGUGUAAUAUGUAAGCAUGAGAGUUUCAAAUUGUAAAUGAAAUGGAUGUGUCAUGUGAAAGUCAACUUAAUUAAAGGAAAUUGUCUGCCAUUAUAAAUAACUUGUAAAUCUUUCAUUUUGUGCCAAUUCUUAAUUUCAUUUACAAACUCUUGAAGUUGAUGGUAGCAUUGUUCAUAUGAGGUUGAUAAGGUAUGCUAUUCUGUCUACUUGUACUUGUAUCAUUAAUGCCAAACAGUCUCAUUUGUAUAUACAUUCUCAUUCUGGCUGUGAACAGAAACUUGAAUUGAAUUUUCCUUUUAAUGUAUAACAAAUUAAAAUUGCAUUUCUUAAAGAGAAAAAAAGUGACAAAACCAACGGAUGAAAACAACAAGGUUUCAGCAAUAUUUAAGGUUAUUGGUUUACCAGAGAUAAGAUAUUUGUUCAAAUUCGCAUAACAAAUGUGGAAUAAAAAACAGUAAUAUUUUUAUAAUACAUUUACAUUGUAAAGUGGAAAAUCAAAUGGUCAACAGACUGUAAGCUGGAAUAUGUGCUACCUCUAGCCUUUUUAUAAGUAAAACAAAGUCAGUUCAAGGUGUGUUUGAUUUACAAGUUGAAGUAAACAGUUAAUUGCAAAUACAUCAUCUAAAACAGAUUCUAAUAAGAAAACUGGCCACUGAUAAACAAGUUUAUUUCUAUAACAACAACAAUCUAUAACUCCCUCUUUGGUCAAACCAAACUUUUCAUUUAUAACAUAAUCUGACCACUCUAAUACUGAGGCACCACACAAACACAUGUAUUUUAAUACAAUCUGGUAUUCAGCUGCCAUUACAGAAAGACUCAUACUAGACUUGUCAUGUGAUCAACUUUCAUACUCAGAUCACAUGAUUAAUGUCAUGUGAUCAUCAUACACAUACUGUGCAAUGUCAUGUGAUCCUCAUACACAUACUCAGAUCAUAUGAUGUCAUGUGAUCUGCAUACACAUACUCAGAUCAAAUGAUCAAUGCCAUGUGAUCUACAUAGACAUACUCAGAUCACAUGAUCAAUGUCAUGUGGUCUGCAUACACAUACUUAGAUCACAAAAUUGUGUCAGUUUUUGUUGUUGUUAAAUAUUGGUAAAGAUCAGCUCAGAAGUUCUCAUGUACUUGCAUGAUGCUCAAUACAGUUGAGUUUACUGAUUUACACAAACAUUUUGAAGCUUAUACUUUGUAUCAAUAAAAAAAUAAGCAUCAUUUUCAUAAAUGGUUUUUGCAUUUCUUGAUAUUAUACUUGUUUUCCAAAUAUGUAAUCUUCAGAUUUAUCAAGAAGACAAAUUAUGUAAAAUAUCUAUUUUCAUGUACAAUUUAUCCAAGUACAUCAAAGAAAAAAACAAAAAAACUAUUGAAGUUUCUGUUCUACUAAAAAGCAAUAUAUGCAUGUUUCUUUAAACCAAAAGUUUUAUCUUAAAUUAGACUUAUUUAUCUGCCAACUUAUUUAGUAUGAGAACUUCUGAGAAGAUCCCUAAUUUGCAGUAUACUUGUGCUUUCUCACCUGUUCAAACUAAAUACUGUAAAUUCAGAUAUUAUUUAGAUGCUUUUAUUAGAGCACAAAAAGGGACAGAGUUAUAAUUGCAAUAAUUUAAACUCCCAUUUUGAGAUAUUUUAUAUGAAUUAAACAGGAUUUUCAUCUCCACUUUGCAACAAUUAAAAUCGCAUUUAAGUCUAUAAUGACAAAAUUGAAGUCAUAAACGCAAGCAAUAAUUGCUGAAUUUACAGUAAAUCAUUAUUUUAGAUUCUUACCAUUGGCUUUAACUGGAAAGAACUUGAGAGGGACAAAAAAUUAAAAUUAUACUUAACUUAGACAAGAGAUGUUACACAAACAAAUUUCAACAAGUCUUUCAACAUAAAGGUGAAAAUUAUGAGGUCACAUACAUUUUCUGAUUCAUAAAAAAGGAUUUUUAUCCUAAAAUGUUCCUCAAAGUGUGAUUAAAAAAGGAGAAAUUGUUAAAUUGCAUAGAUUAAAAGUCAUAAUCAGAACAUAGAACAUCUUACUUUAUAAAGGAAGUACAGUAAAUAUACAUCUUGUACUGCUGUUAAACCCUAUUACAGUGAAACCUAACUUAACAGAACCUUGUGAAAACUGAACUUGUUUAAAAUAAACUCUUGUGAAGAAAAAUACAAUAAAUUUUCUUUAAUUUUAUUGAACCAUUUAAAUCAAACUCUUGCUUUAUAAAAACAAAUUUUGGUCCAAAAUUGGGUUAUAGAUAGUACGUUAAAAGACUGAUCUUUCUAAUAUUGCUUAUAUUAUAUCUUACUGAUAAAAAAAUGGAGUAAGGUAUUUGGCUGAUAACACAACGAAAAUCAACUACUUUUAAUCAAAGGUUCUAUGCAAAUAUCCAUCAAUUCAAAAUCAUUCAUUCGGAUUCAGUGAAAAAUAAAACAAUACAAUACAUGAUAAUGUUGGAUUCAAGGAGAGCAGAAAUCUCAGUUCUUUAAAACUAUCCAAAUUAUUUAUCAAUGUGACUUGAUAUUAUGAACAAUGACAAACAAUUUAGUCGUAAUAUUUGCUACAGACAAUGUUCUAUUGUUGACAUUAUCAACAUUUACUUAUGCAGGAUUCCUUUUUUUGAUAUUUUGAUGUAACAAGAGUGCAUACACGCUGAAAUGUCUCGCCUUCUAUACUAAUCAUUGAUAUUAUGUUGAUAGUCCUAAGUAUAAAGCUUUAUUACAACUGUCACAUAAACUUAACAUUAACCAAGAUAACUAAACAAAGACCAAUGAACCUUGAAAAAUGGAUCAAGGUCAGAUGAACCAUGCCAAGCAGACAUGUACAGCUAACAAUGCCUCUAUACAACAUAUAUAGUUGACCUAUUACUUAUAGUUUAAGAAAAUAGACCAAAACACAAAAACUUAAUACUGUGCAAUGAACCGUGAAAAUGAGGUCACGGUCAAAUAAAACCUGCGCUACUGACAUAAAGAUCAUAAAAUAUUUCCAUACACCAAAUAUAGUUGACCUAUGGCAUAUAGUAUUAGAUAAAAAGACCAAAAAUCAAAAACUUAACUUUGACCACUGAACCAUGAAAAUGAGGUCAAGGUCACAUGACAUCUGCCCGCUAGACAUGUACACCUUACAAUCAUUCCAUACAACAAAUAUAGUAGACCUAUUGCAUAUAGUAUGAGAAAAACAGACCAAAAACACAAAAAUUUAACUAUAACCACUGAACCAUGAAAAUGAGGUCAAGGUCAGAUGACACCUGCCAGUUGGACAUGUACACCUUACAGUCCUUCCAUACACCGAAUAUACUAGCCCUAUUGCUUAUAGUAUCUGAGAUAUGGACUUGACCACCAAAACUUAACCUUGUUUACUGAUCCAUGAAAUGAGGUCGAGGUCAAGUGAAAACUGUCUGACAGACAUGAGGACCUUGCAAGGUACCUACAUAUCAAAUAUAGUUAUCCUAUUACUUAUAAUAAGAGAGAAUUCAACAUCACAAAAAAACUAAACUUUUUUUUUCAAGUGGUCACUGAACCAUGAAAAUGAGGUCAAGGACAUUGGACAUGUGACUGACGGAAACUUCGUAACAUGAGGCAUCUAUAUAUAUACAAAGUAUGAAGCAUUCAGGUCUUCCACCUUCUAAAAUAUAAAGCUUUUAAGGAGUUAGCUAACGCCGCCACCGGAUCACUAUCCCUAUGUUGAGCUUUCUGCAACA
Molecule: long non-coding RNA, 3955 nt
Filed under: Mytilus galloprovincialis (Mediterranean mussel)
Lineage: Eukaryota; Metazoa; Mollusca; Bivalvia; Mytilida; Mytilidae
Source: RNAcentral